Molecule: long non-coding RNA, 438 nt
Organism: Acipenser ruthenus (sterlet)
Lineage: Eukaryota; Metazoa; Chordata; Actinopteri; Acipenseriformes; Acipenseridae
Exons: 3
Source: RefSeq, a predicted model, not a curated record
UUUCACUUCUGAAUGGAGUUACAGUAUACUCCGCGCGAAGAAGAAAAAAACACUCAGCCUCGCGUUCUCAAUCUCACGUCUGCAUUCACAGCCGGUGCACAUAAUGCAGGUUUACUUUGGGGGAAAAGUGCUUUCCACUCCGACCCGGGGAAUGACCACCCAUUACAAUUUACAAUCCAAGGCACAACUAACAAAGACGGACCACUCUAAAUACCAUCGCAGGAAAACAGGUCAAAGAAGUCCCCUGGUAGACAUUGUCUAUACAUUUUUUAGACGGUGAUUCGCAAACACAAGGAAUAUGACAGAGAAAAGAGGCAGCACACUUUUCAAGUAACCUGGUUGCAGUGGGCUGCUGUCUUCACUCAGAAAGUUGGUGUUGUACCAAUUAUGUUUCAUCCUCAAAUAUAUUAAAGGAAAUAGGUGAAAUGCCACUCAUUU